Molecule: unclassified non-coding RNA, 291 nt
Organism: Ursus maritimus (polar bear)
Lineage: Eukaryota; Metazoa; Chordata; Mammalia; Carnivora; Ursidae
Gene: 7SK
Rfam family: 7SK RNA
About the family: 7SK was discovered as an abundant small nuclear RNA in the mid-70s but a possible function has only recently been suggested. Two independent studies have found that 7SK RNA binds the CDK9/cyclin T complex (known as elongation factor P-TEFb).
Source: Ensembl
GGAUGUGAGGGCGAUCUGGCUGCGACAUCUGUCACCCCAUUGAUUGCCAGGGUUGAUUCGGCUGAUCUGGCUGGCUAGGCGGGUGUCCACCCUUCCUCCCUCACUGCUCCAUGUGCGUCCCUCCCGAAGUUGCGCGCUCGGUCAAAGAGGACGACCUUCCCCAAUAGAGGAGGACCGUUCUUCGGUCAAGGUAUACGAGUAGCUGCGCUCCCCUGCUAGAACCUCCAAAAAACAAGCUCUCAAAAGUCUACACGAUGUGAUCUCUGUCCACCUCUCAAAUCUCAUUCUGUA